CCGGCGUGAGAGGGAGACCGGCCACACUGGAACUGAGACCCGCUCCAGAGUCUUAUGGGCAGCAGCAGGAGGGAAUAUUCUGCAAUGGGGGCAAACCGGAGGGAGCAACGCGGGGUGAAAGAUGAAGGCUUUCGGGUUGUAAAUUUUUGUCAUCAGGGAAGAAGAAAGUGACGGUACCUGAGGAGGAAGCCCCGGCUAACUACGUGCCAGCAGCCGCGGUAAAACGUAGGGGGCGAGCGUUGUCCGGAAUUACUGGGCGUAAAGGGCGCGUAGGCGGUUAUCCAAGUCAGGGGUGAAAACCUUGGGGUCAACUCAGGGCCUGCCUGUGAAACUGGGUAACUUGAAGGCAGGAGAGGGGAGUGGAAUUCCCAGUGUAGCGGUGAAAUGCGUAGAUAAUCGGAGGAACUCCAGAGGGGAAGGGGGCUCUUUCGCGUAACCCUGACGGUUAGGCGCGAAAGCGUGGGGAUCCAACCGGGUUAGAUAACCUGGUAGUUCCACCCGUAAACGAUGGGUCAUAGGGUAGGAGG
Molecule: ribosomal RNA, 527 nt
Filed under: uncultured bacterium
Lineage: Bacteria
Description: bacterial SSU rRNA
Rfam family: Bacterial small subunit ribosomal RNA
Source: RNAcentral